AUAGCAUUCAAGUCCUGCCACGGCUGUCGGGUAUCCUUCAAGUUUGGUACAGAAUUGACACUUUGCAGAAAGAAGAAAGAUUUGAAAUACACUUGUCACCCGUUUCCGAGAUUCCACUAAAACCAUUGUAUCGAAAGGAUGGGCAGGAAGGCAAGGAGCGUGGGGCCAUGGACAAUUCUGAUUUGAUGGAGACAGACGUGAAAGCACAGAGGAACAUCUGGAGAAAUUUCUGAAAUGCUGGUUCGCUGCCGCUGUUACUGGGCGAUCGAGAAUCUUACGGAGGGAAAGCCCCAAAAUCCCUGGUUUUGCCUGCCGCUGGCGACCGAGACUGAGGUCGAAUCGUUUGGAUAGAGAUGGUGCUCAGUACUCGGUGUCGGAGGGCUGAUCGGACAACUCAGAGUCGGACUGUGGUCGGGCAUGGCAGGGAGAGUUUCUCUUCCUCCUCCUGUCUGCGUGAGAUGUGGGACUUUCGAGAGACUUUGAAAUUUUUUACUGUGCCCAUGGCCUGUUCUUCAUCAAGUUAUGGUAUUGUUGCACUGUUGUAACUAUAUGUUAUAAUUAUAUGUUUUUUGUUAGUUUUUCAGUCUUGGUCUGUCCUGUGUUCUUAUGA
Molecule: long non-coding RNA, 610 nt
Organism: Mobula hypostoma (lesser devil ray)
Lineage: Eukaryota; Metazoa; Chordata; Chondrichthyes; Myliobatiformes; Myliobatidae
Exons: 3
Source: RefSeq, a predicted model, not a curated record